This 597-nucleotide ribosomal RNA is filed under the name uncultured bacterium. RNAcentral describes it as "bacterial SSU rRNA". It matches the Rfam family "Bacterial small subunit ribosomal RNA", at positions 8 to 583 of the family's 1533-position model. The record is from RNAcentral.
AGAGUUUGAUCCUGGCUCAGAAUGAACGCUGGCGGCGUGCCUAACACAUGCAAGUCGAGCGAGAAAUCACACUUCGGUGUGAGAGUAGAGCGGCGCACGGGUGUGUAACGCGUGGAUAAUCUACCCAUGGAUUGGGGAUAACCCUGCGAAAGCGGGGCUAAUACCUGAUAGUCUGGUCAUUAUAUAGAUGAUCGGUAAAGGUGGCCUCUGAUACAAGCUACUGUCCGUGGAUGAGUCCGCGUCUCAUUAGCUGGUUGGUGGGGUAAUGGCCUACCAAGGCGACGAUGAGUAGCUGGUCUGAGAGGAUGAUCAGCCACACUGGGACUGGAACACGGCCCAGACUCCUACGGGAGGCAGCAGUGGGGAAUAUUGGGCAAUGGGCGCAAGCCUGACCCAGCAACGCCGUGUGAGGGAAGAAGGUUUUCGGAUCGUAAACCUCUGUCAGAAGGGAAGAAGUGGCAGAUAUUUAAUAUAUAUUUGCUUUGACGGUACCUUCAGAGGAAGCACCGGCUAACUCCGUGCCAGCAGCCGCGGUAAUACGGAGGGUGCAAGCGUUAUUCGGAAUCACUGGGCGUAAAGCGCGCGUAGGUUGCGUGG